RNAcentral lists this ribosomal RNA (517 nucleotides) under uncultured bacterium. RNAcentral describes it as "bacterial SSU rRNA". It matches the Rfam family "Bacterial small subunit ribosomal RNA", at positions 501 to 1016 of the family's 1533-position model. The record is from RNAcentral.
CUACGUGCCAGCAGCCGCGGUAAUACGUAGGUCCCGAGCGUUGUCCGGAUUUAUUGGGCGUAAAGCGAGCGCAGGCGGUUAGAUAAGUCUGAAGUUAAAGGCUGUGGCUUAACCAUAGUACGCUUUGGAAACUGUUUAACUUGAGUGCAAGAGGGGAGAGUGGAAUUCCAUGUGUAGCGGUGAAAUGCGUAGAUAUAUGGAGGAACACCGGUGGCGAAAGCGGCUCUCUGGCUUGUAACUGACGCUGAGGCUCGAAAGCGUGGGGAGCAAACAGGAUUAGAUACCCUGGUAGUCCACGCCGUAAACGAUGAGUGCUAGGUGUUAGACCCUUUCCGGGGUUUAGUGCCGUAGCUAACGCAUUAAGCACUCCGCCUGGGGAGUACGACCGCAAGGUUGAAACUCAAAGGAAUUGACGGGGGCCCGCACAGGCGGUGGAGCAUGUGGUUUAAUUCGAAGCAACGCGAAGAACCUUACCAGGUCUUGACAUCCCUCUGACCGCUCUAGAGAUAGAGCUUUC